Molecule: long non-coding RNA, 827 nt
Organism: Heterocephalus glaber (naked mole-rat)
Lineage: Eukaryota; Metazoa; Chordata; Mammalia; Rodentia; Bathyergidae
Source: Ensembl
CCUUGGACUUGUGAGGUGCCCUCUUUGCUUGAGAGGCCACUCUGUCCAUACACCCUGGGGUGUGGUAACUGAGGGGUGUCCCCAGUCAUGUUGGGAGGAAAGCAGACAGACCACAGAGUUCUGUACUGGACACAGUCUGUACAGUGCCUGACUCACAGCACUGGAGGAUUGUCCAUCCUUGUUCCCAGAGAGGGGCUAGGCCAGCCAAACCCCUCACUUCAUACUCUGACAAUGGAUCGAAGGGGCCUGGAGCAAACUGCAAUACCCCUGUCCGUGGACAUCUCCAUGUUCUGUGAGGAACCCGGUAUGAACAUGGAUGUCACAGUGAGCUCCAGGCCUUCGACUUUUGGCUGGGUCCUCCAGCGCUUCAGCAUGCACACAGACCUUUCCCAUUCUUCCACCGCUGACUCUACAGGUGGCCAUUACUCGGGACUCACCGCGGACAAGCCUGGGAACUCCCCCUGGCGCAACAGCUAAAUGGCAAGCAGAUGGCUGGCAUGCCAGAGACCUCCAUCCCCGCGGUUUCCGGAUGGGAAGACUGGGAGCUGGGUCGUGGCAUCCUCUGCUGAAAUGAGCGAGUUUCGAAAGCAGGAGUCCCCUUUCAGCAGGCGGGGAUGCGAAGAGCCAGACUAGAGUCCAGAAAGGGAAGCCCCCGCCACGGAAGGUUGUGGGCGCUAAGAGGCGCUAACCUGUCACCCACUUCAGAGGAAAGGCGUCCUUCGCCCGCCCUUCGCCGGUGAGACGCGGACGCCGCCUUCUCCAGCCCAGCUUCUCAAGCUCCAGAAAGACUCCAGGACUCCCCUUGUUUCCAAGCUCUCCAUCGCUGC